This 465-nucleotide ribosomal RNA is filed under the name uncultured bacterium. RNAcentral describes it as "partial 16S ribosomal RNA". It matches the Rfam family "Bacterial small subunit ribosomal RNA", at positions 28 to 507 of the family's 1533-position model. The record is from RNAcentral.
GACGAACGCUGGCGGCGUGCUUAACACAUGCAAGUCGAACGGAAAGGCCCUGCUUUCAGGGUCCUCUAGUGGCGAACGGGUGAGUAACACGUGGGUGAUCUGCCCUGCACUUCUGGAUAAGCCUUGGAAACUGGGUCUAAUACCGGAUAUGAGCCAUUUUUAGUGUGAUGGUUGGAAAGUUUUUUCGGUGUAGGAUGAGCUCGCUGCCUAUCAGCUUGUUGGUGGGGUAAUGGCCUACCAAGGCGGCGACGGGUAGCCGGCCUGAGAGGGUGGACGGCCAAAUUGGGAAUGAGAUAAGGCCCAGAAUCCUAAGGGAGGGAGCAGUGGGGAAUAUUGCACAAUGGGCGGAAGCCUGAUGGAGCGACGCCGCGUGGGGGAUGACGGCCUUCGGGUUGUAAAAUCCUUUCGCUAGGGACGAAGCUUUUUGUGACGGUAACUAGAUAAGAAGCACCGGCUAACUACGUG